AUGGUUUAUUUGCAUGUGGUUUUGUAUCAAAAUCAUCACAGCAGACUGUCAUGCUUUCAGAGGCCUACCAUUACUUCCUGCAUGAAUCAUUUAUGUAGGAGUGGUUCUAGGAUAUAGGCUAUAGUUUUCUAACUAUCAGCAUUUUUGAAUUUGUUCAAACUGAUUACUUUAUUUUUGGGCUUGCAUCCAGCUGGCCUGCUGAAGACAUAAUUUACUUAGCCUCCAAGUUUGGAAGGUUAUUUUCAAAAAGUCACAGUUUGCUGACUAAAAUAUCUUAAUGGAUAAAUGUCUGACGUGUGGAAAAGCUGAAUUACUUUCCUUCUCACUUUAACAACUUUUCCUUUACUAGUAGGCUAUGUUAAAAAAAUUUGGCAACAUAUUUCUGUUUUCAUUGUCUUUGCUUCUUUAUAGAGUAUAAAGAUGAAGUCUAUCCAGUCGAUAUGAUAACAGCAUGAAACGUGUUGGACUAGAUUUCUUUUUUGACAAACCUGGGAGCAAGUCAUUGCAAUCGUAUGAAACUUCAGCAGCUGAGCAGUUGAAGUAAGAGUAUGAGGAUAGCGGGUGUUGUAUGCUGUACGGACUGUCAAGGCCACUGAAGCAUAUUUAUGAUAUUGAACACCUUUCAUCUUAACUUGUUUAAAACCUCAAAUGUUUGGGAAACAAAGGAGACAUCAGUGUGUUGUGUGGAUUCAGGACUGUGUUUGCCUUCAGGUCCUAAGGAUGAGCUCCAGUCUUCUCUUCAUUCUCGCAAGGAACAGAAACGGAGGUUGGAUUUGGUCGAUUCCAGAUUGUGCUAUCAGAGAAACUGACAGUGGUUUUAAGAUGAAAUUCUUCUCUGUACAGUCAUGGGCAACGUGAAGGCCUACAUUGCGUAAUGUUCCUGUGUGAGCAUGUGUCUCGUAAUCCUAAUUUGGAGAGAGUUAGUUGACUGGUGACGUAUCAACGUGUGGCUUGUGUUUACUGUAUAUAUUCACAAAUUCACAUGUAAUAUUUUGCAUGUUUUUCCAGGCUUCAAAUUGGAACAUCUUGCGCUUGUGUGACCUUCUGCCCUUUUUCAGACACAGCAACGACAAAGUAAGGUACAUGACCUUCCUGAAAGAGACUCUGCCUCCAAACAUUCUUUCUAAACUUUAUAAAGCAGUUGAGUAGAAUGUGAGCUAUUCAUGGAAAAAUAUACAGAGGAAACGGUAUGAACUGUCCUAGUCAUAGAGUUAUUAAGAGUAAAUUUUUAGUUUUUUAACUGCAAAAGUGGGAUUUCUGAGGAAUGCCUCACAGAAAGCAAAGCCAGCUGCUAAGAAGUCAACUGAGGGUAUGAUUAUGUAUUUCCAUAAUUUAUUGGAUUGGUCUCUUGAUGCAUUUGUAGAAUAGAAUAAAAAUAAAAUCAUAUUUGGUCUCACCAGAUGUAUAAAAACAUCACAAGCCUAUAUAAACAUAAAAACAUCAUUAUAACAUCAAUGCACACUCGCACGCACUCCUCACAUCACAUUACUACAGUUAAUACCACAUACACAGUGUACAAUAUACUUUCUGUACAGAACAUUUGUGCAGUUUGUUAAGUUUAGUGCACUAUGUAUAAAAGAUCACUUAUAGAUCUUUUUGUUUGCCAGAGGUACUCUGUAUUGUCGCUGCUUAAACUAAGUAUGGAGGGGGUGUUUUGUGUCACCAAUGAUGGACCAAGCUUUCCUAUGUAGAGCUGUACUGUAAAUGUCAUCUAGUGACUUUGUUGCUGGCCAAUUAUCUUUCCUGCUGUUUUGACAAUCCUGGCCAGCUUGUUUUUUUUAUAAGUGUUAGAUAUCCAAACCAGACAAAUAUAUUUGACACUGGAAUACUCUCUAUCUGUAUUGACUAUAUGCCUUGCAAUCCUGGGAUAACAAUUGUCAGAUUAAUAAACUUGUAAACAUUGUUUGAGAGUCUUUCUUGCAGUGUGAGUUUAACAUAGUAUUUCAGUUCAUGUCUCAUGAAGAUGCACUUAGCAGAAGAUCUGCAAACAAGUAAAUCAGUCAUCUGUCACAAUAACCAAUCCUCUGACAAUGGAUCAAAUGUUUCCUCCAGCUCAUGGCCUUAGCACAGUGCAUGCCCCGCCAAUACUGUUGGACAAAUCUGCUGUUCCCCAGGGACAAAUGCUACCAGUGUACCAGGAUCAAUUUCUCCCUGCCUCAUUUCAGUCUGUGGAAAAUAACUAUGUGAACCGGACCUCUGAAUCUCACUUCAUGUGCUUUCACAUCAGCAGUGAUCAGCUGCACUUCUUUACCACAGAUGGGACCUCACCCAUCGUUAGGCCAUGUCUUAUGGGAUGUCACCCUUGGCCUGGUGGAUCCCGUUGCUCUCCCAUCAGUGAGUUUUGGUCAAGCCUACAUCCCACCUGAACAGACUACGGUAACAAACUUUAUCAUACCCCCAGUAGAAGAAUGUCAGGUCAGGAGGGGACACCUCAGGUUGGCCCAGCCGAUAUUUUACAAACCAACCACUCGUGUCAUUGUCUUUGUUUGAAAGAGAAACUUCAAGUUCUGAUGAGAAUGGAAAUCAGCCAGUGUCAGAUGCUCUGUGAUAUUUAAGACUCCUUCAGGAGAGUGACCUUUGUAGUAGCAGUCCUUUCCUUGUUUGUGAAAAUGUACCUAGCAAUAAACUUCAUUCUGAUUCUGA
Molecule: long non-coding RNA, 2643 nt
Organism: Micropterus dolomieu (smallmouth bass)
Lineage: Eukaryota; Metazoa; Chordata; Actinopteri; Centrarchiformes; Centrarchidae
Exons: 2
Source: RefSeq, a predicted model, not a curated record